Molecule: ribosomal RNA, 492 nt
Filed under: uncultured bacterium
Lineage: Bacteria
Description: partial 16S ribosomal RNA
Rfam family: Bacterial small subunit ribosomal RNA
Source: RNAcentral
AGUGAACGCUGGCGGUAGGCCUAACACAUGCAAGUCGAACGGCAGCACAGUAAGAGCUUGCUCUUACGGGUGGCGAGUGGCGGACGGGUGAGGAAUACAUCGGAAUCUACUUUUUCGUGGGGGAUAACGUAGGGAAACUUACGCUAAUACCGCAUACGACCUACGGAUGAAAGCAGGGGAUCUUCGGACCUUGCGCGAUUGAAUGAGCCGAUGUCGGAUUAGCUAGUUGGCGGGGUAAAGGCCGACCAAGGCGGCGAUCCGUAGCUGGACUGAGAGGAUCAUUGCGCAGCCUGGAGGUGGGGCAGCGCCCCGACACCUGCGGGAGGCCGCAGACGGGAAUACUAGGCAAUGGGGGAGAGCGUGGUCCAGCCCUACCGGGUGGGUGCAGACGGCCCUCUGGUGGGAAAGCCCUUUUGUUGGUAGAGAAAAGCAGUAGUUUAAUACGCCGCUGUUCUGACGGUACCCAGAGAAGAAGCACCGGCUAACUUCGUG